This 7827-nucleotide long non-coding RNA is filed under the name Triticum aestivum (bread wheat). RNAcentral describes it as "long non-coding RNA (TAES_LNC010136)". Lineage: Eukaryota; Viridiplantae; Streptophyta; Magnoliopsida; Poales; Poaceae. The record is from RNAcentral.
UCGCGGUGGAGGUAAAAGCCUAUGUCCUGCUUCAUUGAUAUUGAUGAUAAUGAUCACGAUUACAAGGGAUCUCUAUCUUGAGAGCUAUUGAGUUGUCUGUCUAAACCUAACUUGUAAAAACCUGUCCUCUUGGGGUGCCCUGCCCCUCCUUAUAUAAGUUAGAGGGCUGGGUUACAUGUGGAGUCCUAUUAGGACUAGAACUAGUCUACCUUCUAAUACAAACCGGAUACAAGUCCAGGUCUUAACUCCUUGUAAGGUAAAUAUUCCUCACGCCUUUCCUCUUAAACCGGCCCACCAUUAACAUAAACCAGCCUUCUGGGCCUUGGGCCUUGUCAUCCGUCUGUCCCACCUGCGAGGUUACCAGUGAGUCAUAAUGUUCAAGCAGGUUCCUUUUAAACUGUUUGGUCAGGGCGGGUCGCCAGUGAAUCACCAAGUGUAAACCGGGUCUCAAGUAAACCGCCAAGUCCGGCCGGGUCAUAUUUCCGGCCGGGUCAUAGCGUGGGGUAUAUCCCCGACAGUACCCAAUCGUUUCCUUUGGGUAUCCUAUGAAGACGCAUUUCUCUGAUUUGUGUUUGAGCUUAUCAGGUUGAAGCUUUUUCACAUAAGCAUCGCAACCCCAACCUUUAAGAAACGAUAGCUUAGGUUUCUUGCCAAACCACAGUUCAUAUGGGGUCGUAUCAAUGGACUUAGAUGGUGCCCUAUUUAAUGUGAAUGGAGCCGUCUCUAAAGCAUAGCCCCAAAACGAUAGUGGUAAAUUAGUAAGAGACAUCAUAGAUCACACCAUAUCUUAUAAAGUACGGUUACGACGUUCGGACACACCAUUAUGUUGUGGUGUUCCAGGUGGCAUGAGUUGUGAAAUUGUUCCACAUUUUUUUAAAUGAAGGCCAAACUCGUAGCUCAAAUAUUCAUGUCCGCGAUCAGAUCAUAGAAACUUUAUUUUCUUGUUACAAUGAUUCUCCACUUCACUCUGAAAUUCUUUGAACUUCUCAAAUGUUUUAGACUUGUGUUUUGUCAAGUAGAUAUACCCAUAUCUGCUCAAAUCAUCUGUGAAGGUCAGAAAAUAAUGAUACCCACUGCGAGCCUCAACACUCAUCGGACCGCAUACAUCGGUAUAUAUUAUUUCCAAUAAGUUAGUGGCUCGCUCCAUUGUUUCGGAGAACGGAGUCUUAGUCAUCUUUCCCAUGAGGCAUGGUUCACAAGCAUCAAAUGAUUCAUAAUCAAGUGAUUCCAAAAGUCCAUCUGCGUGGAGUUUCUUCAUGUGCUUUACACCAAUAUAACCUAAACGGCAGUGCACAAAUAUGUUGCACUAUCAUCAUCAAUUUUGCAUAUUUUGGCAUUAAUAUUAUGAAUAUGUGUAUCACUAUGAUCGAGAUUCAAUAAACCAUCGAGUGCAUGACCAUAGAAGGUUUUAUUCAUUUAAACAGAACAACAAUUAUUCUCUCACUUAAAUGAAUAAUUGUAUUGCAAUAAACAUGAUCUAAUCAUAUUCAUGCUCAACGCAAACACAAAAUAACAUUUAUUUAGGUUCAACACUAAUCCCCAAGGUAGAGGGAGUAUGCGACAGUGAUCUUAUCAACCUUGUAAUCUCUUCCAACACACAACGCCACUUUGCCCUCAACCAGUCUCUGUUCAUUUUGCAACUCCUGUUUCGAGUCACUAAUCUUAGCAACUGAACCAGUAUCAAAUACCCUGGGGUUACUAUGAACACUAGUAAAGUACACAUCAAUAACAUGUAUAUCAAAUGUAGCUUGGUUCACUUUGCCAUCCUCCUUAUCCGCCAAGUAUUUGAAGUAGUUCCGCUUCAAAUGACCAUUCCUUUUUGAAGUAGAAGCACUCAAUUUCAGGCUUAGGUCUAGCUUUGGGCUUCUUCAUGGGAGUGGCAACUUGCUUGUCAUUCUUCUUGAAGUUCCCUUUAUUUUCCUUUUCCAUUUUUCUUGAAACAAGUGGUUUUGUUAACUAUCAACACUUGAUGUUAUUUCUUGAUUUCUACCUUCGCCAAUUCAGCAUCGCGAAGAGCUUGGGAAUUGUUUCCGUCAUCCCUUGCAUAUUAUAGCUCAUCACGAAGUUCUAGUAACUCGGUGAUAGUGACUAGAGAACUCUGUCAAUCACUAUCUUAUCUGGAAGACUAACUCCCACUUGAUUCAAGUGAUUGUAGUACCCAGACAUUUUGUGCAUAUGCUCACUGGUUGAGCUAUUCUCCUCCAUCUUGUAGGCAAAGUACUUGUCAGAGGUUGCAUACCUCUCAACAUGGGCAUGAGUCUAAAAUACCAAUUUCAAAUCUUGGAGCAUAUCAUAUGCUCCGUGGCGUUCAGAACGUUUUUGAUGUCCCGGUUCUAAGCCGUAAAGCAUGGUGCACUAAACUAUCAAGUAGUCAUCAUACCGAGCUUGUCAAAUGUUCAUAAUGUCUGCAUCUGCUCCUCCAAUAGGUCUGUCACCUAGCGGUGCAUCAAGGACAUAAUUCUUAUGUGCAGCAACAAGGAUAAUCCUCAGAUCAUGGACCCAGUCCGCAUCAUUGCUACUAUCAUCUUUCAACUUAAUUUUGGGACUAACCUAGAUAUGCAAAUACCAUCAGGACUAAGUUCAUGAUAAAUUAAGUUCAUUUAAUCAUAUUACUUAAGAACUCCCACUUAGAUAGACAUCCCUCGAGCCAUCUAAAUGAUCACGUGAUCCAUAUCAACUAAACCAUGUCCAAUCAUCACGUGAGAUGGAGUAGUCUUCAAUGGUGAACAUCUCUAUGUUGAUCAUAUCUACUAUAUGAUUCAUGUUCGACCUUUCGGUCUCGAGUGUUCCAAGGCCAUGUCUGUACAUGCUAGCUAGGCUCGUCAAGUUUAACCUGAGUAUUCCGCAUGUGCAAAACUGUCUUGCACCAAUUGUAUGUGAAUGUAGCGCCUAUCACACCCAAUUAUCAUGUGGUGUCUCAGCACGAAGAACUAUCGCAACGGCGCAUACUCAGGGAGAACACAUAUACCUUGAAAUUUAGUUAAGGGAUCAUCUUAUAAUGCUACCGCCGUACUAAGCAAAAUAAGAUGCAUAAAAUAUAAACAUCACAUGCAAUCAAAAUAUGUGACAUAAUAUGGCCAUCAUCAUCUUGUGCCUUUGAUCUCCAUCUCCAAAGCACCGUCAUGAUCUCCAUCGUCCCCGGCUUGACACCUUGAUCUUCAUCACAGCGUCGUUGUCAUCUCGCCAACUAUUGCUUCUACGACUAUCACUACCGCUUAGUGAUAAAGUAAAACAAUUACAUGGCGAUUGCAUUUCAUACAAUAAAGCAACAACCAUAAGGCUCUUGCCAGUUGCCGAUACCUUUUACAAAACAUGAUCAUCUCAUACAACAAUUUAUAUCUCAUCACUCUUGACCAUAUCACAUCAAAACAUGCCCUGCAAGAACAAGUUAGACGUCCUCAACUUCAUUGUUGCAAGUUUUACGUGGCUGCUAUGGGAUUCUAGCAAGAACCGUUCUUACCUACGCAUCAAAACCACAACGAUUUUUGUCAAGUGUGAUGUUUUAACCUUCAACAAGGACCGGCCGUAGUCAAAUUGGAUUCAACUGAAGUUGGAGAAACAGACACUCGCCAGCCACCUGUGUACAAAAGCACAUCGGUAGAACUGGUCUCAUGAACGUGGUCAUGUAAUGUUGGUUCGGGCCGCUUCAUCCAACAAUACCGCCGAAUCAAAAUAAGACGUUGGUGGUAAGCAGUAUGACUAUUAUCGCCCACAACUCUUUGUGUUCUAAUUGUGCAUAUCAUCUAUGCAUAGACCUGGCUCGGAUGCCACUGAUGGGGAACGUAGCAUGCAAUUUCAAAAAAAUUCCUACGAUCAUGCAAGGUCUAUCUAGGAGAUGCAUAGCAACGAGAGAGGGAGAGUGUGUCCACGUACCCUCGUAGACCGAAAGCGGAAGCGUUAGGUUAACGCGGUUGAUGUAGUCGAAUGGCUUCACGAUCCAACCGAUCUAGUACCGAACGCACGACACCUCCGAGUUCAGCACACAUUCAGCUCGAUGACGUCCCUCGAACUCUUGAUCCAGGAGAGGGUCGAGGGAGAGUUCUGUCAGCACGACAAUGUGGUGACGAUGAUGGUGAUGUGAUCCGUGCAGGGCUUCGCCUAAGCACUACGACGCUAUGACCGGAUGAGUAAACUGUGGAGGGGGGCACCACACACGGCUAAGAGAACAGUUGAUGUGCUAUGGGGUGCCCCCUGCCCCCGUAUAUAAAGUAGGGGAGGAGGAGGCGGCCGUCUAGGAGGGGCGCGCCACGGGGAGUCCUACUAGGACUCCUAGUCCAAGUAUGAUUAGCCCCCCUCUUUUCCUUUUCUUGGAGGUGGAAAAGGGGAAGGCAAGGGAGUAGGAGAAGGAAACGGGGGUGGCGCCCCCUUCCCUAAACCAAUUCGGCCUCCUCCCUUGAGGGGGGCGCACCAGCCCCUUGUGGGCUGGUUAGCCUCCCUCGUAUGGCCCAUAUGACCCAUAUCUUCCCCCGGGGGGUUCCGGUAACCCCUUCGGUACUCCGGUAUGUACCCGAUACACUCCAGAACCCUUCCGGUGUUCAAAUACUACAUUUUAAUAUAUCAAUCUUUACCUCUCAACCAUUUCGAGACUCCUCGUCAUGUCCUUGAUCUCAUCCGGGACUCCGAACAAACUUCGGUCACCAAAACACAUAACUCAUAAUAGAAAUCAUCAUUGAACGUUAAGCGUGCGGACCCUAUGGGUUCGACAACUAUGUAGACGUGACCGAGACACAUCUCUGGUAAAUAACCAAUAGCAUAACCUGGAUGCUCAUAUUGGUUCCUACAUGUUCUAUGAAGAUCUUUAUCGGUCAGAUGAUACGUCUCCAAUGUAUCUAUAAUUUUUGAUUGUUCCAUGCUAUUAUAUUUUCUGUUUUGGAUGUUAAUGGGCUUUAUUUUACACUUCUAUAUUAUUUUUGGGACUAACCUAUUAACCCAAGGUCCAGUGCAAAUUUCUAUUUUAUUUCCCAUUUUAGUGUUUCGGAGAAAAGGAAUAUCAAACAGAGUCCAAACAGAAUGAAACCUUCGGGAGAGUUAUUUUUGGAACGGAAGCAAUCCAGGAGACUUGGAGUAGACGUCAGGGAAGCUUCGGGGAAGCCAUGAGACAGGGAGGCGUGCCCUACCCCCUGGGCGCGCCCCCACCCUCGUGGCUCCCCUGACCGACUUCUUUCGCCUAUAUAUAUCAAUAUGCCCUAAAACAUCAGAGAGCAGAAUAGAUUGGGAGUUCUGCCGCCAGAAGCCUUCGUAGCCACCAAAAACCAAUCUAGACCCGUUCCGGCACCCUUCCGGAGGGGGGAAUCCCUCUCCGGUGGCCAACUUCAUCAUAUUUGGAUCCAUGGCGAGGAGGGAGUAGUUCACCCUCGGAGCUGAGGGUAUGUGCUAGUAGCUAUGUGUUUGAUCUCUCUUUCUUGUGUUCUUGAGUCGGCAUGAUCUUGAUGUAUCGCAAGCUUUGCUAUUAUAUUUGGAUAUUAUGAUGUUUCUUCCCCUCUACUCUAUUGUGAUGGAUUGAGUUUUCCCUUUGAAGUUAUCUUAUCGGAUUGAGUCUUUAAGGAUUUGAGAACUCUUGAUGUAUGUCUUGCACGUGCUUAUCUAGGAUGACAAUGGGAUAUCAUGUGAUCCACUUGAUGUAUGUUUUGGUGAUCAACUUGCGAGUUCCGUGACCUCGUGAACUUAUGCAUAGGGGUUGGCACAUGUUUUCAUCUUGACUCUCUGGUAGAAACUUUGGGGCACUCUUUGAAGUACUUUGUGUUGGUUUGAAUAGAUGAAUAUGAGAUUGUGUCAUGCAUAUCAUAUAAUCAUACCCGCGGAUACUUGGAGGUGACAUUGGAGUAUCUAGGUGACAUUAGGGUUUUGGUUGAUUUGUGUCUUAAGGUGUUAUUUAAAUACGAACUCUAGGGCUGUUUGUGACACUUAUAGGAAUAACCCAAUGGAUUGACCGGAAAGAAUAACUUUGAGGUGGUUUUGUGCCCUACUAUAAUCUCUUCGUCUGUUCUCCGCUAUUAGUGACUUUGGAGUGACUCUUUGUUGCAUGUUGAGGGAUAGUUAUGUGAUCCAAUUAUGUUAUUAUUGUUGAGAGAAUUUGCACUAGUGAAAGUAUGAACCCUAGGCAGUGUUUCAAUACAUUGCAAUACCGUUUGUGCUCACUUUUAUCAUUAGUUAUCUUGCUGUUUUUAUAUUUUCGGAUUACAAAAACCAUUAUCUACUAUACAUAUUGCACUUGUAUCACCAUCUCUUCGCCGAACUAGUGCACCUCUACAAUUUACCAUUAUAUUGGGUGUGUUGGAGACACAAGAGACUCUUUGUUAUUUGGUUGCAGGGUUGCUUGAGACACUACAGGAAACAGGAGAUUUGCCAACAGUACUGCUCUUUGCCGUCAGCAUUUCAUCGGGGCAGACGGCAACGAGCAAUUUUACCGACAGCGGCUGAUGGCAAAGAACGGAUGACAACAAAUACAUAUUUUGCCGUCUGCAAAAAAAACCACAGACGGCAAAAACGCUUUGCCGUCAGCACAUUUUUUAUAGACGUAAAAUAACAUACUUUGCCGUUUAUAAAUAAAAUUGCAGACGGUAAAGUGUCUUUGCCAUCUGUGGUUUUUUGCAGACGGCAAAGUAUGUGAUUUGCCAUCUGUAAAUAAAAUUGCAGACGGCAAAGAGAAAGCACAACCCACGGAUUGAUCUCGUGGAUCGAUGACGUGGCAGCAGAUCCGCAGCCCACCCCGAGAUCCCAGCAACAGCCACACCACGAUCUCUCUCGCGGCCCCACCACUCACCACAAUCCAUCCCCACCACAAACCCCCUCCCCCUGCCUUAUCCUCUCGCACACCUCUCUCUCUCUCUCAUACCUGUCUCUUCGUGCGCAGGUAGGCUGCCGCUCGUCCCAUCUGCUCGGCCGCCGCUUGCUCCAUCUUCCCCAGCCGCCGCUUGUGCCACCAGACCCUGCCGCGGCUGCCCCUUGCCCCAUCUGCCCCGGCCGCCGCUCGCGCCACCAGCCCCUGCUCGGCCGCCGCUCGCAGCCCCGGCCCCUGCUGCAGCUCGCCUCACCGGUCCCGGCCACAACUCCACCACUCAUCGCCCCGGCCGCUGCUCGCCCCACUGGCCCCGGCCGCUGCUCCGCCACUCACCGCCCGGACCAACACUCCGCCACCCUGCGCUCCUCUUCCCUGUGCCUAAGCUCCAGCGAACUCACCUCCGGCAACUGCUCCUCCACGCCCGCGCCCUUCUUCCUCUCCUCCGUCGCUCAGCUGCUGCUCUGGCCAUGGCCGUUGUCGUCCGCUGCUGCUCCGGCCAUGGCUCCGCCGUCCAUUGUUUCUCCGGCCGCUGUCGUCCGCUGGUACUCUGGCCACCAUCGAGCGCGACUAUGCGGUGGCGCGACAAGUAGGACCGGGCGAGCGCGGCUGUGCGGUGGCGCGGCGAGUAGAGCCGGGCAGCAGCAGUGGAGUCCCUGGCGAGAGGAAAGACGACCGGCAAUGAAGUACAUGUUGCUGCAGUGGAGAAGAAGGACUUGAUUGUUUUUCAUUUUUACUUAGUGGGGUCCUUUGUGUAAAUUUUUAGGACAACUCUGUAACUGUAACUUCUCUGUUCAUCGUUGAUUCUUAGAACAAAGUGUCGAUGAAUACUGUGGUGUUCAUCGUUGUCUGUUAGUUCCUUGUAGCCUUUGCACAUGGACUGUUAGUUUAGAUUAUUUUAAUAGGAAAACUUCUUUGAUGUCUGUGAUUUUAUGAGGCUCACGGCAAAAGAGCACUUUGCUGUCUGUGAUUCUGUGAGGCUGACGACAAAGGAGCUCUCCUUUGCCAUCUGUUACCAAAUCGGCUGACGGCAAACGAGUUUUUCUUUG